RNAcentral lists this ribosomal RNA (351 nucleotides) under uncultured Clostridium sp. Its description in RNAcentral is "bacterial SSU rRNA". It matches the Rfam family "Bacterial small subunit ribosomal RNA", at positions 355 to 725 of the family's 1533-position model. Lineage: Bacteria; Bacillati; Bacillota; Clostridia; Eubacteriales; Clostridiaceae. The record is from RNAcentral.
UGGGGAAUAUUGCACAAUGGGCGAAAGCCUGAUGCAGCAACGCCGCGUGAACGAUGAAGGCCUUCGGGUCGUAAAGUUCUGUCCUCAAGGAAGAUAAUGACGGUACUUGAGGAGGAAGCCCCGGCUAACUACGUGCCAGCAGCCGCGGUAAUACGUAGGGGCUAGCGUUAUCCGGAUUUACUGGGCGUAAAGGGUGCGUAGGCGGUUUUUAAGUCAGAAGUGAAAGGCUACGGCUUAAACCGUAGUAAGCUUUUGAAACUGGAGAACUUGAGUGCAGGAGAGGAGAGUGGAAUUCCUAGUGUAGCGGUGAAAUGCGUAGAUAUUAGGAGGAACACCAGUAGCGAAGGCGGC